AGAUCUGAAAAGCAUAGCGACGGUGGUUAUUAAACCUCAAUGUGAUUUUUAGCAGAACACAUGAUGUGGUCUGUGGUAAACAAGCAGCUGCAAGGGGACACAAACACAGCCUCAAACUUCCCCUUCCAUGCAAACUCGGCUCAUUUCGACAGAGCACGGGCGCCAUUUCAAGUGUUCAGGAUUGUUUGCAGUUGUAUAACUGCUGUCCAGUGCCGGCUUGCACCUGUGUAGAUGUUUAGACGUUUACUUCUCACAACUACAAACAUAUACAGUGGAAGAUGGCAAAUUAAGAAAACAUGGCAACGAAUCAUUGUGGAAGAUAAAUACUCUGAAAUGAGAUCAAGAAAUUGAGAGAAUUUGAUGUUUGACAGCAGGGGAGCAGAAUAGCGAGAGUGAAAAGAGACGGAAGAAGAGAUAGAUAUAGGUCUAACCACUGAACAGGGCCCACCAAUGUCUUCUGUUCCUUUACUGAGACAUUGAAGAAGGAGUUUAAUUUCUAUUCAACUCUCUGUUAUGUAGAGGCUCUGAACAGAACAAGUCAAUGAGGAGCGUUAAUAGACAACUUUGGAAUAUGCCUCAGAGACGAAGUGUGAGAACCAGCUGAAGUUCUGUCUCCGUCUCCUACUCUUCCCCCUCAAUUGUAUCUCCCUCUCUCCCCUUUCCCAUUCUUUUCCUCCCUCUUCCCCUCUCCCUCCCUAUCUGAGGGGAUUUUGAGGCAAGCUGAAAACUGUUCUUCAGGAGGCCCGGACAUGACUUUCUCCAGGCUCUAAGUCCUCUACAGUAGAUAGGACCUAACCCGGGCAUAGUCAUCACCUUCACUCUAACAGCUCAGCGUUCAACACCAUAGUCCCAUCCAAUCACUAAGCUAAAGACCCUGGGAUUAAACACCUCCCUCUGCAACUGGAUCCUGGACUUC
Long non-coding RNA from Oncorhynchus kisutch (coho salmon), 916 nucleotides. RefSeq lists it as uncharacterized. The record is from RefSeq and is a predicted model, not a curated record. NCBI's taxonomy places the organism in Eukaryota, Metazoa, Chordata, Actinopteri, Salmoniformes, Salmonidae. The transcript is spliced from 3 exons.